Unclassified non-coding RNA from Loxodonta africana (African savanna elephant), 292 nucleotides. Its record names the gene 7SK. It matches the Rfam family "7SK RNA". Rfam says of the family: 7SK was discovered as an abundant small nuclear RNA in the mid-70s but a possible function has only recently been suggested. Two independent studies have found that 7SK RNA binds the CDK9/cyclin T complex (known as elongation factor P-TEFb). The record is from Ensembl. NCBI's taxonomy places the organism in Eukaryota, Metazoa, Chordata, Mammalia, Proboscidea, Elephantidae.
GAAUGUGAGGGCCAUCUGGAUGUAGCCUCUACUCCCCAUUGACAACCAAAGAUUAUUUACUUGGUCUGUCUAGACUGAGCUUCUUCCUCCUUUAUCACUCCAGGAAGGUCCUUCCUGAAGCUGUACUCCCAGUAGAAAAUGGUGACCUUCUCAGAUAAAGGAGGUUCUUUACUGGUUAAGGAGUCCUGAUGGUGCAAUGGUUAAGAGCUCGGCUUCUAACCAAGAGAUUGUCAGUUCGAACCCACCAACCACUCCUUGGAAACCCUAUGGGACAGUUCUCCUCUGUCCUGUA